UGGGGAAUUUUGGACAAUGGGCGAAAGCCUGAUCCAGCAAUGCCGCGUGUGUGAAGAAGGCCUUCGGGUUGUAAAGCACUUUUGUCCGGAAAGAAAUCCUUGGCUCUAAUACAGUCGGGGGAUGACGGUACCGGAAGAAUAAGCACCGGCUAACUACGUGCCAGCAGCCGCGGUAAUACGUAGGGUGCAAGCGUUAAUCGGAAUUACUGGGCGUAAAGCGUGCGCAGGCGGUUUGCUAAGACCGAUGUGAAAUCCCCGGGCUCAACCUGGGAACUGCAUUGGUGACUGGCAGGCUAGAGUAUGGCAGAGGGGGGUAGAAUUCCACGUGUAGCAGUGAAAUGCGUAGAGAUGUGGAGGAAUACCGAUGGCGAAGGCAGCCCCCUGGGCCAAUACUGACGCUCAUGCACGAAAGCGUGGGGAGCAAACAGGAUUAGAUACCCUGGUAGUCCACGCCCUAAAACGAUGUCAACUAGUUGUUGGGGAUUCAUUUCCUUAGUAACGUAGCUAACGCGUGAAGUUGACCGCCUGGGGAGUACGGUCGCAAGAUUAAAACUCAAAGGAAUUGACGGGGUCAAGCUGUUUCCU
This 585-nucleotide ribosomal RNA is filed under the name uncultured bacterium. Its description in RNAcentral is "partial 16S ribosomal RNA". It matches the Rfam family "Bacterial small subunit ribosomal RNA", at positions 355 to 938 of the family's 1533-position model. The record is from RNAcentral.